Astatotilapia calliptera (eastern happy) is the source of this 978-nucleotide long non-coding RNA. The record is from Ensembl. Lineage: Eukaryota; Metazoa; Chordata; Actinopteri; Cichliformes; Cichlidae.
AGGGAACAGAAUAAAAAUGCAACUGCAAUAGGAAACAACAUACAAAACUCAAACAAUAAACUAGAGAACUUCUGGGAAAGUAUAAAAAAGCAAGGAAUACAAACAGCCUCAUAUAUAAAAAAGUUUUCAGUUUCAUUCAACUUUAUUUACACAGCGCCAAAUCACAACAACAGUCGCUUCAAGGUGCUUUAUAUUGUACAGUAAACCCUACAAUAACACAUACUGAGAAAAACCCAACAAUCAUAUGACCCCCUAUGAGCAGCACUUUGGCAACAGUGGGAAGGAAAAACUCCCUUUUAACAGGAAGAAACCUCCAGCAGAACCAGGCUCAGGGAGGGGCGGGGCCAUCUGCUGUGAUUGGUUGGGGUGAGAGAAGGAAGACAGGAUAAAGACAUGCUGUGGAAGAGAGACAGAGGUUAAUAACGGAUAUGAUUCAAUGCAGAGAGGUCUAUUAAUACAUAGUGAGUGAGAAAGGUGACUGGAAAGGAAAAACUCAAUGCAUCAUGGGAAUCCUCGGCAGCCUACGUCUAUUGCAGCAUAACUAAGGGAGGAUUCAGGGUCACCUGGUCCAGCCCUAACUAUAUGCUUUAGCAAAAAGGAAAGUUUGAAGCCUAAUCUUAAAAGCAGAAAAGAGCUGAGGAAAGCCCCAGGCCCCGCCAAGCAGCCCCCGGGAGUGAGCCAGUACAAACCCGAACAUCCAGCCCUGGACACCGAGAACCAUCAAUGCACCAACGGACAGAAGGAAGAAAUCUUGGAACCAAAGACAAAACUUCCCACACGUUUUAAAGAGCCAGCAGGUAGAAUGGGAGCAGAGCAGGAGCAUCCUUAUAAUAAGAAAGUACCAGUGACCAAGUCUAUGAAAUGACAAAGCAGAACAUCCAUACAUCUUUUAAUGGUAAAUGGACUGACUCUUAUGCAGCACCUUUCUACUCUCCAGGAGAAAUCAAAGUGCUUUACACAACAAGCCUCGCUCAUACA